AGCAUGUGCGCGAGUCAUUGGGACAAACCUAAAGGCGUAAUGAAAGUGAAGGUCCGCCCCGGACCGAGGGAGGAUGGGCCCGCCCUCGGGCCCCGCACUCCCGGGGCGUCUCGUUCUCAUCGCGAGAGGAGGCGCACCCAGAGCGUACACGCUGGGACCCGAAAGAUGGUGAACUAUGCCUGGUCAGGACGAAGUCAGGGGAAACCCUGAUGGAGGUCCGUAGCGAUUCUGACGUGCAAAUCGAUCGUCGGAACUGGGUAUAGGGGCGAAAGACUAAUCGAACCAUCUAGUAGCUGGUUCCCUCCGAAGUUUCCCUCAGGAUAGCUGGCGCUCGCCGCGCGCGAGUCUCAUCCGGUAAAGCGAAUGAUUAGAGGCAUUGGGGUCGAAACGGCCUCAACCUAUUCUCAAACUUUAAAUGGGUGAGAUCUCCGGCUUGCUCGAACCGUGAAGCCGCGAGAUUUCGGAUCAGAGUGCCAAGUGGGCCACUUUUG
Molecule: ribosomal RNA, 491 nt
Filed under: Sphaenognathus alticollis
Lineage: Eukaryota; Metazoa; Arthropoda; Insecta; Coleoptera; Lucanidae
Also listed under: 1 other name
Description: eukaryotic LSU rRNA
Rfam family: Eukaryotic large subunit ribosomal RNA
Source: RNAcentral